UUUUAUGUUUCCUCUGAACAUGACCUUUGGGGAUACAUUUCCACUGCAGUGGAGGAUUUAGCAGCUUGACACCUGUUUAAUAUAAUGGGCUAAAUGAAUGUACACAAGCAAAAUUUAGAGUUUAUGCUCUUGAUAGGAGAAAAGCUGCAUGCAGCCUAUGUCUUCCUACUAAUGGUAGUCAGUAGUGGUACUGCAGAGUGCAGUAAGAAGACAAACUGAGCCAAUUAGAAACAAUAUGAACUGGACCAUGUUAAUGUCAGAUGGCGCAGUACUUUUAUCUUCUCAGACUUGUCCUCUCCUUUUUUAAAGGCAGAUCUUUUCUCCUGCAAUGGCCAGACUGCUUGAAAUGUUUUGUGUAUUAGGCAGUGAAGAGUGUAAUUUUAGGCUGAAGCCACUAUCCUCAGCCUUGUUUAAGUUUCAUAAAGAUUAUUGCAGUAUGAAGAUAAAAUGCCAUGCUCCAAGUUUUGGCAUCUGUCAAAACAGAUGAAGCUGAAAGGAUCUUUUUUCACACUUUUAUUGUAAUAUAUUUGAAGACAUUCACUAGUUGAAAAAUGGUUACUUCUUGUUCUGUGGCAUCUGGCAUUUGUCUUGCGAUUGGCAGUGUGUUACUAGAAAAUAGCAUACAGUUUCUCUCAUCUUGUGAUUGAUGUCCUAUAAAGACAGUCUUGUAUAAGAGUUGGAUUUGAAAUGUUAUGAAUGUGAGUGCCUUUUCUUAGAUCUUUCAAGUGGUACAAUCCAUGCCCUGAAAUAUCCAUUUGUCUCAUCUCAUAACAGUUCUCUAUCUAGGUGAGAUAAGAAACUGCAGUUUGUAAUAAACUCAGAUGAGGGGGUCUCUAUAUAUUGCCACUCUUUAUUUGCUCUGAUGGAUGUAAUAUAGAUUUUUCAUAGCUUAUAUCUAUUUCUUGCUUAUGUGAUAUAGCUGAUUUGCCUCCAAUUUUAAAAGACAAAGAAUGCGUUGUAGAAUAGUCAACACAUUUGUAAACCCAAAGUCCAUGUAUUUAUACAACUGGGAAACUGCAUGACAUAUUAUUCCCUGUAGAGAAUAUAUAGAACAGGGCUGUUCUUUGGGGACUUAAUGGCAAAGUCACAUUCCCUCUCUGCCCCAUCCUCCAUUUCUGGCAAUUUCUUCUGAAACUUAUUUAGAGUCCAAAGCAAAAUGAAUUUUACAUAACCCUUGGGCUAGUGCAGUCUGCACACAAAAAAAUGACCAGAGAGGUUUAAUUCAGGAUAUGAAUACUAAUGUCCUGAUGUUAAUCAGUAAAUCCUGAUGACUCAUCCUAGGGAGAAAAGCAGUAAGAGACUGGUACUUGAAUGUAUUUUAUUAGACUGGUUACCACUGAAAUCUUUCCACUCAUUCAUGGAAACACCAUAUGGAAAAAUCAAGCCUGUGUUCAUCACUGUCUGACCUUGUUCCAUGUUUCAUCACUAGCGAUUAUGUCUGUUGGACAGUGACUGUUCAGCCUCCAGAUAUUACCCAUUCAUCUAUCAUCUGUUUUCUUUUCCACCACAUACAUGUUCUCUCUUUGUUCUGCCUAAUUCCAUGGUUCUAUUUUUCAGCUUGCCCACGCACACAACAAAUUGAUGCUUUUAUUAGCGAUUUUUGUUAAUUUGGCACCAUGUUGAAUCUAUUAGUGUAAUUUCUUAUGUUGCUGUGGAACGUCUACUAGAAUGUGACUGUCUCCUUAGUUGAUUAUAAAGAUGAAAACUUCCUGCUCCAUCUUCUUGGUAGCAGGGGUAUAGAAAGGUCCCAGAAGAUCUGGGUGCAUGAAUAUGUUAGGGUCCUCCUUCCCAAUUCCAAAAUCCACCUCCUCCAGCCCAGCCACAGCCCCAAUUCAGCCCCACCCAGCCCCAGUUCAGCCUCUGCUUAGCUUCCCUCACAGCCCUCCUUCAGAUUGCCAGCUCCUCCCAUAACCCUGCAGUUCUGAGCCCCACAAGUUCUCUCUCAACCCAUCUCCAGCCUUCAUCAGUCCAGCCCCCAACUCCCCCAGCCCUGAUCCAAUCAUUCCUUUUACCUUCUGCUUCCCUGAGCCACCUCUCACUCUCAGGCCCCCAAAGUCUUCCCCCAGGUCCCCCCUUUGUUUGCUCCAGCUCCACUCCAGCCCCCUACUCCACCCGUGCCCCCAGCUCUGAUCCAGAAACCCCCAAGCGCCACUUCAACUCCCUUCCCCCAUCCUCCACAGCUCCAGUCCAACCUCCCAGCUCAGCCAGUUCUGCCUCAAAAUGGCCAAUGCUUUUACCUGGGGCUCCAUGUCUAGAAGUGGGGGGCACAUCUCCCAUAUCCACCCCUUCUCUCCCUCACAUCCCUCAUCGCUGUGAGACCCUCCCCACACACCUUCUCUGUGCAUGUUUGCCGACUGGUCAUGCUUGAAGUUGCCCUAGCUGGAGGGGCCCCCAUCCCAGCUGUCCUCCUGUCCCUGACCCACUCUCCUCCGGCAUCCCCUUUCCACUGUGGAGUGGCACAGCUGAACUUCUGCCAGUGGCAUGAAUAGGGAUACAUGUAUACAGCUAGAUCUGAGUGCUCCCCCCGGACCCUUGUGGGCCCUGGUGCAACUGAACCAUUUGUACCGAUGUAACUAUGUCACAUCUUGGUAAGCUAUCAUCCAUCCUAUUGAACUGAGCAGCUGUUGAUUAGAUGAUGGAGCUUAGCUGUGGCUUUAUUCAGUUAGCGCAAGCCCUUCAAGCCAAGAGCUGGACUCCUCUCCUACCUUUCUGCUCAUUAACACAAAACCUGAUCAAUUGUCCUUAGCAGAUGAACUCAUUGAGAGUUUCUGUCUUUUCCUGUGUUUAGAAUAUAGUGCUUUGCUUUCCAGGGGGUGGGCUUUCUUAGAGCUUCAUUGCACAGGAAUGCCUAUGUCAUCAUUAAAUCCAAUCCCGCCUUACUGGAGAGAGACCCCUGACCAACCUCCCAGCCAACCCCAGUGAGGCCAAGUUGUAAUUGUCCUUGGUGCUGCUACUGACUGGAGCUGUACAAUUUGCAGGCUCUAGUUCUCACACCACGUGCAUUUUUUCUGUCCAGUGAGAAUGGCUUUGGUUUUUUAACCUUUGAAAGUGAAUAUCUUCCUGGUUAUAAUUAACAUAAGGGAUAAAAUAAAUCAAACCUAAUCUUUUUAGCUAAUGUCUUGAAUCAAAUUUACCGAAGGGACCUCUCAGUAAAUGGCACAGCGCAAUUUCUUUUAAAUCUACAGAGCUACAGUUGAAAGGUAGAGUAGAUGCAUUAAAACCCCAUCUACACUUCACCCUGCAACCAGAUACAUUGUUAGAUUUCUACCAAAAUCCAGUUGGUUUUCUAUCUAGUCUUGCCUUGAAUAAUGCCAGGCUGGGAGAUUCCUUGGCAGGUAGUUUUUUCAGGAUAUUAGCCAAGGCAGUAAAUACAGUGCUGCUCUCUAGUCUUUUAAAAGAAUAGUAAUAAUAGUGUUGUUUAGUUAUCAUAAACACACAUCAGAGUGUAUGACACAUUAAAUUCCAUACCUGAGCCGAAUAUCCUAAUUUAAUACAUAAAGUAAGUGAAAGUCUUGGAAACGUCAUGAAAUCCAGAAAUUAAUGGAAGCAUCUUAGUGUCAAAGUUGUUUUCAAGUUGGCUAAGGAUGUUGUCUCAUCAUAUGACUCUGCCAGACAGUGCUGCUGUUUCUAACAACCCCCAGUUUGGUGGGCUUGGAGUGCUGCUGUUGCUCUGACAAGUUGUGCUGUUUGGAAGCUGUAAAGUUCUCCUUGACUACAAACACCUGCACCGAGAGCCAGGUGUUCUUCUUUGAGCAGAUGCAGCUAUGUUUCCCAGUUAGGUGUGUAAGCGCACCGGAGCUGGAGAAUUUUGCCUAGAAGUACCCACAGAGCUACAGAGAUGCUCCAGGCCAUACCCCCUCCCCUGGCUGGAUGAGGCAGUGCCAUCCGGCCCCCCUCCCUUCCUCCACACUGAAUGCCCGCGAGAUGAGACUCUGGUGCAGAGGGGAUGAAGGGUGGGUAAUGGAAUGCACAUUUGCAUCACAACUCAAAGAACCACAGUUACAAUAAGUAACCAUUUCUCCUGAGUAUUGUGGUGAAAGUUCUGGAGCCCUCUUCUCCCUGGCCUUUAAAGGUUGCUUGGCAAUGGCAGUGCUUUCUCUGCUGGCCCCUAACGAGUUUGGUACUGCUGAUAUACAGGCUGUCUGCACCUAUAAAGCAAAAUCUCAUCUAUAACUCUGUGUGCAACUACCUUUGAUUUCGCUGUGCGCAUCUGAGGGCAGAGUUGAGCCGAGGGAGGUGAUUAUCGUUACUUUGAAAAAAAAAAUUGGAAAUGGUAAUGAUGCAAUUCUGUCUUUCAUUUACAUUUCUAACACUGAGAACCACUUGAUAGGAAGUGAAACCAAAAAGAGGUGUUCUGCUCUGUCUGAUGGAGACACCACCAAAUAGUUAUUGCUUAUGGAGCAUGACACAUCCAGGACACUUCAUCAAACACAUGAGGCCAAGGUACAUGCCCCCCCCCCCGAUUUUACAGACUAAUCGCUGAAGUAAUUCUAUUGCAAAUACUGUAAUAGAAAUAGAAUUCAGUCAAAUGUUUGGCUUCACUGAGUUAAUCUUCAAUCGGUCCAGAUGCUGCAGCAAUGGGCCUCUCAUAAUGAAUGAAAAUAUUUGUGUCAUCUUAAGGUCAUCAGCAGAGAUUAAAAUAAUUGACAUAUCAGUGUAGUGUGGAGUGGAGACAACUCAGAACAUGUCUCUGAACACGAUUGCAGGCUGUGGCUUUACAGGUGGGUCUGAGGGCAACAAUACCCAGAAAGAUCAUUGCAGGAUAUGGAAGGAGAGGGGAAUUUCUUAGUGCUGCAGCCUUUGUGCCUCUGUUAACUGUUCAUAGCUUCUCCCCACCAGAUCAGUAGUUCCAGUCUCUGGCUGACAGGAGGAAUUGUGUCUGUACGAAGCAGUUCAAAGCAGCAGGGGUUAAAUUCAAAAGGGCAUAACCUGGCACUGAAGUUGUGCUGAGCCUACUUCUUUAUGGUUCAGGAUGCCAGGCAGAGAACAGAAGAGGGCCAGAACCCUCUCUGCCUUUGCAGUUGUCAUAUUGGCACUGCCAAUGACACAUACUAAAAGGUUUGCAUUUAUUAACCCAAGUGUAAACCACAAGGACCUGAAUCAACUCAGAAUGAUCACUUACCAAUUCAAAACGAAAGUGCUAUUUGCUCUCCUCACUUGGUCCUGAAACAGUAAAUGUCAUUAUUGUUUGUACCACUGUGUUUGUAAAAUGUUGCACUUUAUUGCUGUGGAUAUUUUGAUCUAUUUAAGAUAUUGAUUCUGUUAUUGCAUAGAGAGUUGUGCUAUAUUUUAUCCUUGAUAUGAAUGAAUCAUUGAAUGUUUAGUGCUUUAAUUUUUCUGAAGUAGGAAAACAGGCUUUGUGUAAUAUACAUAGAUUAUGAAUCAUUGAUAAGAUACAUUUCUGGGUAAUGAUCUAUAUAUUAAAUAUUUAGGAGCAAUCUUUUAGAAUGCCUGGUACAAGGUAGCCAGCUAUAAAAGCAGCACGCAUGUCGUCAUGCGCAUAUUUCAGUGUGGAUGGGGGGAGAGGGAGGGUGGGAAAUGAGGCCAUAUCAGAGAGAGAGAGACGUGACAUAGGUUUAAGCAGUUAUUUAUUCAAUCUCCUAAUGUAGCGAUUAAAGAUCACUAAAGCCCUUUAAACCACUAAACAAAAUAGACCCACAAGAGGAGUCAAUAGCAGAAAAAGUGGAUUUCAGAUUCUCAACUCCAAAGUUACUUCUGUUUAGUUUCUUCUCUUCAAGGUCAAAUACCACAGUGGGAAGAAAAGAGGUGAGUAACAUAUAAUCCCAGGCCAUGCCAUCUCCAUUCAGCUGUGUUUCGCUUUCACCUCACAAGGGAGUGACAAUUCUUCUGGUGCAUGUACUGUGCUAGAGAACUACAAACCCCAGCAUGCUUUGCUAGUAAGCAACAAUUCCUGUCUGUCCAAGGGAUAAAAUUAGCUAUAUAAGAAACACCUGGGUACUCCCUUUCCGCUGCAUCUCUUGCUGUGUCUGGAUUUGCUUCCGAGCCAAACAGAGGCCACAAGCCUUCCACCAGGAUGCGUGCCUCUGAGUAGUUGAGCUCUUCCAAUUACCCUGCCCAGAGCAAUGACAUAGGAGCUUGCAAGUCAGCUCUGGCUAGCCAAGUCAUGUUGCAGUCUGUACCCUGCAGUUACCGGCCGUCGCAUGGCUUGAGAACCAAGAGAAUGGCUGCAGCUGACAGAGCUCCAAAGCCAGCGUGAAGCAGGUUGCCUAGGUCUCACUGAAUGAUUCUAGCUCCUAAUGAUGAGGGGGAAAUAUGGAUUCCGGGCUGGGAAAUAUGUCACUGUCCUAAAUCAGACAACAACAUGGGACCUCAGUUAUUCAGGCUUCAUUCCUUCAAGAUAUAGCACAAAAAUCAAAUGGCUGAAGUUAUUCUAUUACAGCUCAUACCAACAAUGGGAAAAUCCUAUAAUGUAAAGGGCCAGCAUCAAUAUGUGCUCUGUGAGGAUGAAUCGCCCAGCAGCAGAUGAGAGAAGAACACAGAAAUUAUUAAAGGGGUCCACAUCCUUCUGUUUUGUUUUUUUUUUGUGGGGUGAGGGGUUGUUUUUAAAAAGCCAACUAACUUGAUCUGGAGCGUCUCUCGGAUCGAUGACAGCGAGGGCAUGUAGCAACAAACUGCAAAACGCUUUUCCCCCAAGUGAA
Molecule: long non-coding RNA, 6659 nt
Organism: Dermochelys coriacea (leatherback sea turtle)
Lineage: Eukaryota; Metazoa; Chordata; Testudines; Dermochelyidae
Exons: 3
Source: RefSeq, a predicted model, not a curated record